GAUUGGCAGUGGGUCCAGCGCAACCUGGAAAAACACUGGCUGCAAGGUGAAAGUCCACUGGAAUUGGGUCGCCAAUCAAAGGCCAUGCUGAGAUAGAGAGGAGAAGGGCAGGAGAGACAUGAGCGCAGGAGGAGGUUCCGCUGGGCCUCCUGAAGCCGUCGAGAGUCAGACGCGAGCUUGGAGGACAGAUAGGCUGCGAUCUCCUCAUUGCUUAAGGCAGUUGCUGUAGAUAGAUUAAGCACCUGAAGUAUGUGAGCGGCAUUGGAGUGUGUGCUGGCAGACAGGAUGGUAUAGAUGUGUGGAGGUGAAGAAGUGCAGAGCCAGGACAGGUCACCUUCAUGCUCCUCACUUAACUCAUCCAAACCAUCAAGCACUACAGCCAGAGGUCUGUCUUCAUUCACUAACAUCAACAACGAGUGAAGCUCCCUCGACAGCUGUGCUAAGGACUGUAGAUACGAUACAAUCAAACACACAAUUUAAAAUGUAUUACAGGACUGUAUUGUUGUUGAUUCAUAUAAACAG
Molecule: long non-coding RNA, 522 nt
Organism: Trichomycterus rosablanca
Lineage: Eukaryota; Metazoa; Chordata; Actinopteri; Siluriformes; Trichomycteridae
Exons: 3
Source: RefSeq, a predicted model, not a curated record